This 671-nucleotide ribosomal RNA is filed under the name uncultured Bacilli bacterium. RNAcentral describes it as "bacterial SSU rRNA". It matches the Rfam family "Bacterial small subunit ribosomal RNA", at positions 75 to 733 of the family's 1533-position model. The record is from RNAcentral. Lineage: Bacteria; Bacillati; Bacillota; Bacilli.
GGAGCUUGCUCUUCUGGAUGAGUUGCGAACGGGUGAGUAACGCGUAGGUAACCUGCCUGGUAGCGGGGGAUAACUAUUGGAAACGAUAGCUAAUACCGCAUAAUAGUAGAUGUUGCAUGACAUUUGCUUAAAAGGUGCAAUUGCAUCACUACCAGAUGGACCUGCGUUGUAUUAGCUAGUUGGUGGGGUAACGGCUCACCAAGGCGACGAUACAUAGCCGACCUGAGAGGGUGAUCGGCCACACUGGGACUGAGACACGGCCCAGACUCCUACGGGAGGCAGCAGUAGGGAAUCUUCGGCAAUGGACGGAAGUCUGACCGAGCAACGCCGCGUGAGUGAAGAAGGUUUUCGGAUCGUAAAGCUCUGUUGUAAGAGAAGAACGAGUGUGAGAGUGGAAAGUUCACACUGUGACGGUAUCUUACCAGAAAGGGACGGCUAACUACGUGCCAGCAGCCGCGGUAAUACGUAGGUCCCGAGCGUUGUCCGGAUUUAUUGGGCGUAAAGCGAGCGCAGGCGGUUAGAUAAGUCUGAAGUUAAAGGCUGUGGCUUAACCAUAGUACGCUUUGGAAACUGUUUAACUUGAGUGCAAGAGGGGAGAGUGGAAUUCCAUGUGUAGCGGUGAAAUGCGUAGAUAUAUGGAGGAACACCGGUGGCGAAAGCGGCUCUCUGGC